GUCCAGUGUAGCCUAGUGGUCAUGGCAUCUGCCCGGUAAGCGGAAGGUCGUGGGUUCGAUUUCCAUCCCUUGACA
Molecule: transfer RNA, 75 nt
Filed under: Cordylochernes scorpioides
Lineage: Eukaryota; Metazoa; Arthropoda; Arachnida; Pseudoscorpiones; Chernetidae
Description: tRNA-Thr
Rfam family: tRNA
About the family: Transfer RNA (tRNA) molecules are approximately 80 nucleotides in length.
Source: RNAcentral